This 1463-nucleotide ribosomal RNA is filed under the name Escherichia coli. RNAcentral describes it as "partial 23S ribosomal RNA". It matches the Rfam family "Bacterial large subunit ribosomal RNA", at positions 1 to 1510 of the family's 2925-position model. The record is from RNAcentral. Lineage: Bacteria; Pseudomonadati; Pseudomonadota; Gammaproteobacteria; Enterobacterales; Enterobacteriaceae.
GGUUAAGCGACUAAGCGUACACGGUGGAUGCCCUGGCAGUCAGAGGCGAUGAAGGACGUGCUAAUCUGCGAUAAGCGUCGGUGAGGUGAUAUGAACCGUUAUAACCGGCGAUUUCCGAAUGGGGAAACCCAGUGUGUUUCGACACACUAUCAUUAACUGAAUCCAUAGGUUAAUGAGGCGAACCGGGGGAACUGAAACAUCUAAGUACCCCGAGGAAAAGAAAUCAACCGAGAUUCCCCCAGUAGCGGCGAGCGAACGGGGAGGAGCCCAGAGCCUGAAUCAGUGUGUGUGUUAGUGGAAGCGUCUGGAAAGGCGCGCGAUACAGGGUGACAGCCCCGUACACAAAAAUGCACAUACUGUGAGCUCGAUGAGUAGGGCGGGACACGUGGUAUCCUGUCUGAAUAUGGGGGGACCAUCCUCCAAGGCUAAAUACUCCUGACUGACCGAUAGUGAACCAGUACCGUGAGGGAAAGGCGAAAAGAACCCCGGCGAGGGGAGUGAAAAAGAACCUGAAACCGUGUACGUACAAGCAGUGGGAGCCUCUUAAUGGGGUGACUGCGUACCUUUUGUAUAAUGGGUCAGCGACUUAUAUUCUGUAGCAAGGUUAACCGAAUAGGGGAGCCGAAGGGAAACCGAGUCUUAACUGGGCGUUAAGUUGCAGGGUAUAGACCCGAAACCCGGUGAUCUAGCCAUGGGCAGGUUGAAGGUUGGGUAACACUAACUGGAGGACCGAACCGACUAAUGUUGAAAAAUUAGCGGAUGACUUGUGGCUGGGGGUGAAAGGCCAAUCAAACCGGGAGAUAGCUGGUUCUCCCCGAAAGCUAUUUAGGUAGCGCCUCGUGAAUUCAUCUCCGGGGGUAGAGCACUGUUUCGGCAAGGGGGUCAUCCCGACUUACCAACCCGAUGCAAACUGCGAAUACCGGAGAAUGUUAUCACGGGAGACACACGGCGGGUGCUAACGUCCGUCGUGAAGAGGGAAACAACCCAGACCGCCAGCUAAGGUCCCAAAGUCAUGGUUAAGUGGGAAACGAUGUGGGAAGGCCCAGACAGCCAGGAUGUUGGCUUAGAAGCAGCCAUCAUUUAAAGAAAGCGUAAUAGCUCACUGGUCGAGUCGGCCUGCGCGGAAGAUGUAACGGGGCUAAACCAUGCACCGAAGCUGCGGCAGCGACACUAUGUGUUGUUGGGUAGGGGAGCGUUCUGUAAGCCUGUGAAGGUGGCCUGUGAGGGUUGCUGGAGGUAUCAGAAGUGCGAAUGCUGACAUAAGUAACGAUAAAGCGGGUGAAAAGCCCGCUCGCCGGAAGACCAAGGGUUCCUGUCCAACGUUAAUCGGGGCAGGGUGAGUCGACCCCUAAGGCGAGGCCGAAAGGCGUAGUCGAUGGGAAACAGGUUAAUAUUCCUGUACUUGGUGUUACUGCGAAGGGGGGACGGAGAAGGCUAUGUUGGCCGGGCGACGGUUGUCCCGG